CGGCCCUGCAACACUAUAAAAGGUUUAUACAAUUGUAACCCCAGACCUUUUUCUGUCGAUUUUCUUGGAGGUACAGUACUUGUGUGAAACUGUUGUUGUUAUUGACAAUUUAAUAUGCUGAAAAUAUAUUUGUGUUGACAUCCUGUUUUUAUUGUUAUUGUAUUGUCAGUUGGAUUUGGAGUAAAAAAAAAAAAAUCUACAACCAUGUCUGCCCCAUGCAGAUAACCCUGCUAUGCAACCUGUUUCUAAGUCAACCUACACCAAUCCAUCUUUCAAGUCUUCACUGAUUUACAAUGACCUUUUCAUGAAGGCAUUUCUUUGUGAGUAUUCAACACUAUAAUGCAGUCAACAUAGAUGAAUACCUUCUAUCCCACCUAUCCUUGUCCUUUCAAUGAGAAGAUGGAACAGGUUUUCUCUUUAGGAUAGAACGGGAAAGGUACCAGUGUGCCAGGAAUUGAAGGUGCCCAGUGACUGUGGGAAUAUAUUCAUUUGAAUGGUAACGCAUCCCUUUUGGAGGCUGCUGAUGAGGCUGGGGCAGAGAGCACAGUGCUCCCUCAGACUUGCUGAGUCAUUCCGGUUGAGACAAAGGAAUUUUGUCAGCUGUCAUUGGUUGGUUGGGUGGGCAUGGUUCUGCUUGUGUUUGGUGAGGUCUCUAGGUCUUCAUUGCUGUAAGAUUGGAAUACAACAAAUACAAUGACAUGCUGUUGGUUCCAAGGUAAUAGCAGUGUAUCUGGCAACCUAAACAAUAUUGUCUUUACCUACCAUUAUAUCUCCUCCGGCGGCUCCAGUACAGCUUCGUCCUCAAGGAAGUCCACACUCAAUACUGUGACUGGUUAAAAUUCCGCUUUUGAGUCUUCAUAACACUUGGGAAUAAAGCACUAAUGAUUCUCACAACCAUCUCCGUAAUGGACGACAGACAGUCCAUUGGGAGGAGGUCUUCUUCCUAAAACAUAGAUAAAUGAUUGUAACUAAUGAGGACAGUAAUACAGACAUUGUUAAUAUUACUUUAUGUUUAGC
RNAcentral lists this long non-coding RNA (1017 nucleotides) under Salmo salar (Atlantic salmon). RNAcentral's name for it is "lncRNA (ENSSSAG00000121188.1)". The record is from RNAcentral. Lineage: Eukaryota; Metazoa; Chordata; Actinopteri; Salmoniformes; Salmonidae.